UUGUCAGAAGCAUUUUUUGAUAUAUCACUGCUGUUGAGCUUCGCAAACAAGGCGCCAAUUUUCCUUGAAUUGUCUUCUAUUUCGCGUUUUCGGGCUGGAUUUGCACGUGAACCUCCCAAAGCUUCUGACGUCUCUUUAAAAAGUCUCGUCAAUGUUAUAAUGACAGGUUUAUGAUGAGCUGCAGCAAAUUAUGCCAAAGCAACUUAUCAGAAACAUUACAUGAAAAACACAGCUGCUGCUCCUGCUACUACUACUACCCCUACCACAAACAUUACUGAGAUCGAAGUUUGGCCUCCAAAAUUAUUUCUCUAGUGUAAAUCAAUAUUACAGUUUUGAAUGCUUCACCAGUUGGUCAUUCACAGUCGCAAGGCAUAUUGACAAAUUCUUGAAAAACAUCAAAGCAUUUUAUUUUGUAGUGUCUGAGCACCUCUCAAACAAUGUAAACAACACACCCACAAUGCUUUUAUUCAUUUAUUUGUGCAAAGUCACAUCAAUUAUGUCCCAACUACAGUACCCAUAGAGCAAUUAAUUACUCAAAGCAUAAACAACAUCAACCAUCAACCAUCAAAAUCGACUUCAAACACUAUCAGAAUACAGCUGUAGCCCUGUAUAACAAAUAAAUCUUUUUCUAAAACUAAGAGUAGAAUCAAAGACAGCUGAAGAAAAAAAAAGUGUGAAUAGAUCAUCAGUGACAAUACAAAUUUUAAUCAACAGAAGAAUUCCAUCAAUAC
Molecule: unclassified non-coding RNA, 731 nt
Filed under: Hevea brasiliensis (rubber tree)
Lineage: Eukaryota; Viridiplantae; Streptophyta; Magnoliopsida; Malpighiales; Euphorbiaceae
Source: RNAcentral